This 250-nucleotide ribosomal RNA is filed under the name uncultured Chroococcidiopsis sp. RNAcentral describes it as "partial 16S ribosomal RNA". It matches the Rfam family "Bacterial small subunit ribosomal RNA", at positions 796 to 1044 of the family's 1533-position model. The record is from RNAcentral. Lineage: Bacteria; Bacillati; Cyanobacteriota; Cyanophyceae; Chroococcidiopsidales; Chroococcidiopsidaceae.
CUAGCCGUAAACGAUGGAUACUAGGCGUUGUGAGUAUCGACCCUCACAGUGUCGUAACUAACGCGUUAAGUAUCCCGCCUGGGGAGUACGCGCGCAAGCGUGAAACUCAAAGGAAUUGACGGGGGCCCGCACAAGCGGUGGAGUAUGUGGUUUAAUUCGAUGCAACGCGAAGAACCUUACCAGGACUUGACAUGUCGCGAAUCUCAGGGAAACUUGAGAGUGCCUUCGGGAGCGCGAACACAGGUGGUGC